UGAGGAAUAUUGGACAAUGGGCGCAAGCCUGGAUCCAGCCAUGCCGCGGUGCAGGAAGACGGCCCUAUGGGUUGUAAACUGCUUUUAUACGGGAAGAAACACUCCGACGUGUCGGAGCUUGACGGUACCGUAAGAAUAAGGAUCGGCUAACUCCGUG
RNAcentral lists this ribosomal RNA (157 nucleotides) under uncultured bacterium. RNAcentral's name for it is "partial 16S rRNA". It matches the Rfam family "Bacterial small subunit ribosomal RNA", at positions 355 to 507 of the family's 1533-position model. The record is from RNAcentral.